CCUACGGGCGGCAGCAGUGGGGAAUAUUGGACAAUGGGCGAAAGCCUGAUCCAGCCAUGCCGCGUGUGUGAAGAAGGCCUUCGGGUUGUAAAGCACUUUCAGUGGGGAAGAAAGCCUUGGGGCUAAUACCCUCGAGGAAGGACAUCACCCACAGAAGAAGCACCGGCUAACUCCGUGCCAGCGGCCGCGGUAAUACGGAGGGUGCGAGCGUUAAUCGGAAUUACUGGGCGUAAAGCGCGCGUAGGCGGUCUGAUAAGCCGGUUGUGAAAGCCCCGGGCUCAACCUGGGAACGGCAUCCGGAACUGUCAGGCUAGAGUGCAGGAGAGGAAGGUAGAAUUCCCGGUGUAGCGGUGAAAUGCGUAGAGAUCGGGAGGAAUACCAGUGGCGAAGGCGGCCUUCUGGACUGACACUGACGCUGAGGUGCGAAAGCGUGGGUAGCAAACAGGAUUAGAUACCCCAGUAGUC
RNAcentral lists this ribosomal RNA (465 nucleotides) under Vreelandella stevensii. RNAcentral describes it as "partial 16S ribosomal RNA". It matches the Rfam family "Bacterial small subunit ribosomal RNA", at positions 338 to 795 of the family's 1533-position model. Lineage: Bacteria; Pseudomonadati; Pseudomonadota; Gammaproteobacteria; Oceanospirillales; Halomonadaceae. The record is from RNAcentral.